This 497-nucleotide ribosomal RNA is filed under the name uncultured bacterium. RNAcentral describes it as "bacterial SSU rRNA". It matches the Rfam family "Bacterial small subunit ribosomal RNA", at positions 28 to 514 of the family's 1533-position model. The record is from RNAcentral.
GAUGAACGCUAGCGAUAGGCCUAACACAUGCAAGUCGAGGGGCAUCACAUGAAGUAGCAAUACGGAUGGUGGCGACCGGCGCACGGGUGAGUAACACGUAUGCAACCUGCCUUCAACAAGGGGAUAACCCGUUGAAAAACGGACUAAUACCCUAUAAUACAGGGGUCCCGCAUGGGGAUAUUUGUUAAAGAUUGAUCGGUUGAAGAUGGGCAUGCGUUCCAUUAGCUGGUUGGUGAGGUAACGGCUCACCAAGGCAACGAUGGAUAGGGGAACUGAGAGGUUUAUCCCCCACACUGGUACUGAGACACGGACCAGACUCCUACGGGAGGCAGCAGUGAGGAAUAUUGGUCAAUGGACGCAAGUCUGAACCAGCCACGUCGCGUGAAGGAAGACGGCCCUACGGGUUGUAAACUUCUUUUGUAAGGGAAUAAAGUGUAGUACGCGUACUAUUUUGCAUGUACCUUACGAAUAAGGAUCGGCUAACUCCGUGCCAGCAG